RNAcentral lists this ribosomal RNA (320 nucleotides) under uncultured eukaryote. RNAcentral's name for it is "partial 18S ribosomal RNA". It matches the Rfam family "Eukaryotic small subunit ribosomal RNA", at positions 1470 to 1796 of the family's 1831-position model. The record is from RNAcentral.
CCCCUAGAUGUUCUGGGCCGCACGCGCGCUACACUGAACAGUUCAACAAGUCUUAACCUUGGCCGAUAGGUCUGGGUAAUCUAUGAACGCUGUUCGUGAUUGGGAUAGACCUUUGCAAUUAUGGGUCUUCAACGAGGAAUUCCUAGUAAACGCAAGUCAUCAGCUUGCAUUGAUUACGUCCCUGCCCUUUGUACACACCGCCCGUCGCACCUACCGAUUGAAUGGUCCGGUGAAAUCUCGGGACGGCGGCUUGGUCGCUUGCGUCCGACUGCUGAAACUUGAUUAAACCAUAUCAUUUAGAGGAAGGUGAAGUCGUAACA